UGAAUUUAUGGCAAACCAUAACUCUGGUAGGUACUGGUCCAGUUUCUGUAACUGUCACCCACAUAUACAGAGAUCGACUGUUUUAAAGUUUAAUUUACUUUUUCUGUCAUAUUUUUCUGUAGGUGGUUUUGAUAAGGAUGAUGUGAUGUCUUAACAAUGAUGGUGAUACAGAUAAAUAACUAAUGAGGGAUACUACUAGCACUAGCUUUCAUUCUGACCAGUGUGUUUGUCUCACACUUAAAGCUGAUGCUCAGUUCAAAUCAAAGUCAGAAAAUAUCAAAAAAAAUGAGUGGUGAAGAUUUUCGCGCACCCCUUUUACCUGCAAAUGAAAGAAGUUAUGGCUCAUGUAUAGUGAAAAAAAUGACUUAUUUGCUUUUGUUGCUGCAUGUUUGGUAAUGGAGAAAAGGACACUCUGCUAAGUGGGGAUGGUUUCAACACCUGGAAAAAUCUUUCAGCCCACUUGAGACAACAUGAGACGUCUGCUAAACACAUUACAAACAUGGAUACUUGGCGCAAUCUCUCUCAGAAACUUCAAAUCAGAAAGGGUUCGAAAACCAUACUGUCCAGGAGAUCUGGGAGCUCUACCGCCAUUAUUCUGCACGGAAGGACAGGCCAGAUGAUUUUGGUAUGACUCGGAGGGAUUUGAUACAGAAGGCAUACAGCUCUGUCAGCCGGUGCCUAAAUACACCUUUAACCCACAUCACCAGUGUGCAGAUAAAAAGGUUUAGGAAAUACAUUUAUGACAGGAAGAUUCAAAUGUCAAGCUCUUCCAUUAGUGACCGUUCAUGGCUGGACGACACCCACUUAUUCGAGGUGAUAAAAUCUGAGGCCAUGGCUUUCACAGCAUCAUUGGGAGCCCCGUCAUCAUCCGCAGCCCCAUUAUCAUCCGCAGCGCCGGCAUCAUCUGCAGCUACCCCUGCAAAGAAGUCCUCAUCCACAAAUUCUAAGAAAUCAUCCACAGCCAAAGUCCCAGUAGAAACAUUACAGAGUGACUUCCCAGUGAGUAAUAUUUACAUACAAAAAUGUAUUAUAAAUAAAUUAUAGUAGUUGGAGUGAUAUUACGCAUAAUUGUUAUGCAAUUGUUUUCUGUUGUGACAUGUUUUAGGUCAAUCUGGAGGGCUGUGUGUGAUCCUCAU
Molecule: non-coding RNA, 1136 nt
Organism: Misgurnus anguillicaudatus (oriental weatherfish)
Lineage: Eukaryota; Metazoa; Chordata; Actinopteri; Cypriniformes; Cobitidae
Source: RefSeq, a predicted model, not a curated record